GGUGGGGGGCAUGGGGUGGGGGGGGCGCCGUGGGGAAUUAGCCGACAGGAAGUCGUGGGUGAAGUACUUCCUGUGGCUAGGGGAAGGGUUGCCACCUGUCCUGGUUUUGCCAGGGAUCGUUUUCUCAAUGUUAUUCUUUCCCCCUCUCCUCCCCCACUGGCACACGGCAAGCCGAGCCGGCAUGGGGAGCUCCAGGGCUGUUUUUUUCCGUACCAAAGGGGGGGGGGGGGGGGAUGGGGGUGGCGGCAUAAUCUGGCUCGGGGCCGAGCGGGGCCAGGGCGCCCUUCGGCUGACGGGCACGCAUCUCCGGACGGGCGGAGAAGCGCGCCGGACUCGGCGACGCCACCAAGCCGGCGACGGCCCCCCACGGCCUCAACUUCUACAGCGGAAACGCAGAGCCAAUAGCGGCGCUCGACUCGUGAGCCGCACCUCGGGGCCGGCGCUGGCCCAUGGCACGGCCCCCGGUCACGGCCCUCGGUGUGUUUGAGGAGGCGGGCGGCCAUGGCCAGGAAAUCUUGUCACUCAUCCCUUAACCGGAAAGAUGAAGUCCCGGUAUUUGUGAGUUGCGAAGUAAAAUAACGGUGUUGUUGUUGUUGCUGUCGUUGUGUUUAGUUUGUUGUCCUUUCCACCACGCACCUCCGAUUAGCACGGUUGGCUACGUACGGUGCGAAAAAAGUUCAACGUACUUUAUUCAGGGCGAUCUAUUUAACGGUUGCAGUUGUCCGCUCUUCUGGUCUUGAGAGGUUGCCUUCUCCUGCCCGUGAUGUCUCCCAUAGGUAGCCCACACCCAUCUACAACCGGACCCCGUUCAUCCGCUCCGUUUAAAACACACGUGAUAAUUCACUGUCCCCACAGCAUUGCCGCAGUAAAACUCACGGACAAAUUGUUUCGCCCUCGGGGGUGGUUUGCGAAUCGAGUGGAGUGAAGCUGUAGAAAUCUUGGUGGUGGUAACAAGCACGACCUUUGAUAUAUCAUCCGCACACCCCAGGAUUUCGCGCACGCCCAAGCGACCGUUGAGCAUCGGCGUGACUCGGCUACGGCGACCCGUCCGACAACUUGGAGUUCGCGCCGAAUAUUAAUGUUAACGAUCAGUCGCGUGAUUGAAAACAAAACGAAUGUCGGGCCUCCGAACCUAUCGCAACACCCCUGCCAAUUCCUCGCAGCUCUUACCUUCUCCACGCUUCCGUGCAACGACCCCGGGAACACAUUUGAACGCCGGCACGAAGGUCGCCCCGGUCCAAUACUGCGGUCGCGCUGGAUUACGCUUAAAGAGAUAACACUGCUACUUGCCAUCCUAAACUAAACUACUAAACUGUUUAUUCUUUUUAUUUGUACCAAGUGUAAGCCCCCCACUGAGCCGUGUAGCUCUUUUUCAAAAGCGACCAUCUGGCUAUCACAAGUGAUAUGAUCAUCGUAAUCAUCGCGUGAAAAUUCAUAGCAGUAGCCAAAUAACUCUGAACGCCGGAUGUUGAUUCUAAAUGUGAAGGGGAAACCCGGAGGACCCGGAGAAAAAUCCAUGCGGCUACUGGGAGAGAGAGACACGCAAACUCCAAAUAUACAGCAGCAGGCGUCGGUCAGGAUCGAACCCACGACCUCCUGUAGACCAGGCGAGGUAGUUAACAUCUCCUAGCCACCGUGAUGAUGAUGAGAGAGAGACACGCAAACUACAAAUAUACAGCAGGCGUCGGGGUCAGGAUCGAACCCACGACCCCCUGUAUACCAGGCGAGGUAGUUAACAUCUCCUAGCCACCGUGAUGAUGAUGAUGAUGAGAGAGAGACACGUAAACUACAAAUAUAAAGCAGGCAUCAGGGUCGGGAUCCAACCCACAACUUCCUGUAUACCAGGCGAGGUAGUUAACAUCUCCUAGCCACCGUGAUGAUGAUGAGAGAGAGAGACACGUAAACUCCAAAUAUAAAGCAGGCAUCGGGGUCGGGAUCGAACCCACAACUUCCUGUAUACCAGGCGAGGUAGUUAACAUCUCCUAGCCACCGUGAUGAUGAGCGAGAGAGAGACACGUAAACUACAAAUAUAAAGCAGGCAUCAGGGUCGGGAUCCAACCCACAACUUCCUGUAUACCAGGCGAGGUAGUUAACAUCUCCUAGCCACCGUGAUGAUGAUGAGCGAGAGAGAGACACGUAAACUCCAAAUAUAAAGCAGGCAUCAGGGUCGGGAUCCAACCCACAACUUCCUGUAUACCAGGCGAGGUAGGUAAUAGAGAAGUAUUAAAGACAAGCCCACAGCAGUGCGAUUGUGACCAUGCAACCCAAACUAUCGACCAACAUCAUAAACCCAACGUGGUCUGCGCUCUUUCAACAGCGGAACGGCACGGGACUCCUCUCUCUCUCUCUCUCUGAAGCUCUCUCCUUGUGGCUAGCAGCAGCAGCGGCGGCGGCAAACCUCCACAGUGGCAUCUGUAUCUCCUGAACAGCUGAGAAUAGGAUGUAGGGUGUAAUAGGAUUUCGAGUGUAAUAGGGUGUAAGGAUGUAAUAUGAUGUAAGGGUGUAAUAGGAUGUAAGGAUGGUAAUGGAAUGUAAGGAUCUAAUCGUAUGUAGGAUGUAAUAGGUUGUAGGGUGUAAUAGGGUGUAAUGGUGUAAUAGGAUGUAGGGCUGUAAUAUGAUGUAGGGAUGUAAUAUGAUGUAAGGGUGUAAUAUGAUGUAAGGGUGUAAUAGGAUGUAGGUAUGUAAUAUGAUGUAAGGGUGUAAUAUGAUGUAAGGGUGUAAUAGGAUAAGGGUGUAAUAGGAUGUAAUGGUGUAAUAUGAUGUAAGGAUGUAAUAGGAUGUAGGUAUGUAAUAUGAUGUAAGGGUGUAAUAGGAUAAGGGUGUAAUAGGAUGUAAUGGUGUAAUAUGAUGUAAGGAUGUAAUAUGAUGUAAGGGUGUAAGUCCAUGAGCAGUGUUCGCCGAUGGGCCCAGCGGUCUCCGCGUUGGUCUCAUCGAGGGCUCGGCAACCUGCAGCGCCGAGGCGGCGAGCGGACUCCCUCCAAAGCGCCGCUCCAUGGCGACAUUGCGCGUGGGAGAGAUUUUUUGGGUAUGUUACCGAAUCUCGAAAUAAAGAAAAUGUCCAUUCUGGUUAUGCUCGUCGCCGACCUCCCCCCCCCCACCGCCUCUGGGUCGAAUGAAUGAAACCGAAGUGGUCUGAGCUGCUUCAACGGAGGAAGACCACGGGAAGACAAAGUCACUCUGCUGAAGCCAUCUUGUCGUGGCGAGCAGCAGCAGAAGCAGCACCACCUCCACAUUGCCAUCAUCGAGCGCCUGGUCACCGCUACCAUCAUACGCAAUGAUAGAGAUGCAUCGAGACACAUAGAGACACAUAGAGACACAUAGAGAUACAUAGAAUACAUAGAAAUACAUAAAGACCCAUAGUGACACGAGGGAUAGAGACUCAUCGAUAUGUAUAGAGAUCCAUAUAGACUCAGAGAUGCCCAUAGAGGUCUCCACAUUGGCAUUGAGUUCCUGGACACAGUGCUGCUGCUGCUGUCCCGGUAUGCUAGGAUAUGAUGUAAACGUUUAAACAAAUAUAUUAAAAACUGUCGGAACAUUUAUCAUGGCCGCCAAUCUUGCUUUGGGAAGGGAAUCUUUUUUUAAUGUUCCACCAAAUUCUAAAUGUUAUUCGAGAAUGUUGUGAACGUGCUUGCUAUUUUCGGAGCGUUUCGAAUCAAAAAUGUAAGUUGAUUUGUGUUCGCAGAUAUUUAUGGAGGAGAGAAACGAUUGUGGAGUUUGAUUUGGAUUUUUAAAUGAUUAAAUCGACGAAUUAAAUGAA
Molecule: long non-coding RNA, 3757 nt
Organism: Lethenteron reissneri (Far Eastern brook lamprey)
Lineage: Eukaryota; Metazoa; Chordata; Hyperoartia; Petromyzontiformes; Petromyzontidae
Source: RefSeq, a predicted model, not a curated record